UAAUAGAUACCCAGGUAGUCCACGCCGUAAACGAUGUCUGCUAGCCGUUGGGGGGCUUGUCCCUUCAGUGGCGGAGCUAACGCGAUAAGCAGACCGCCUGGGGAGUACGGCCGCAAGGUUAAAACUCAAAUGAAUUGACGGGGGCCCGCACAAGCGGUGGAGUAUGUGGUUUAAUUCGACGCAACGCGAAAAACCUUACCCGGUCUUGACAUCCUGGGAACCCUUUGGAGACAGAGGGGUGCCGCAAGGAGCCCAGAGACAGGUGCUGCAUGGCUGUCGUCAGCUCGUGUCGUGAGAUGUUGGGUUAAGUCCCGCAACGAGCGCAACCCUUGUCCCUAGUUGCCAGCCUUCAGUUGGGCACUCUAGGGAGACUGCCGGUGACAAACCGGAGGAAGGUGGGGAUGACGUCAAAGUCAUUAUGGCCCUUACGACCGGGGCUACACACGUACUACAAUGGGGCGCACAGAGGGUUGCAAUACCGCGAGGUGGAGCCGAAUCCCACAAAACGUCUCGUAGUCCGGAUCGGAGUCUGCAACUCGACUCCGUGAAGUCGG
This 554-nucleotide ribosomal RNA is filed under the name uncultured bacterium. RNAcentral describes it as "bacterial SSU rRNA". It matches the Rfam family "Bacterial small subunit ribosomal RNA", at positions 776 to 1329 of the family's 1533-position model. The record is from RNAcentral.